GAACGCAUACUUUAGAGUAUGAGUGGCAGACGGGUGAGUAACGCGUGAGACAUCUACCUUACAGCCCGGUAUAAAUAUCUAUAUAGAGGCGAAAAUCUUUAUAUAUGAGUGAAUCCCGGAUAUUUUGAAUAAAAAAAAAGGCAAAGAACCGUUGUAAGAUGAGCUCGCGUAGGAUUAGGUAGUUGGUAAGGUAAAAGCUUAUCCAAGCCGAUGAUCCUUAGCUGUUCUGAGAGGAUGAUCAGCCACACCGGGACUGAGACACGGCCCAGACGCUUUCGAGCGGCAGCAGUGAGGAAUUUUGGACAAUGGGCGAAAGCCUGAUCCAGCUAUAUCGCAUGAAUGAAGAAGGCUCAAUUGGUUGUAAAAUUCAUAGUUUCAUUGUAGAUUAUGACAUUGAUGAAAUGAAUAGUCCCGGCCAACUCCGUGC
RNAcentral lists this ribosomal RNA (427 nucleotides) under uncultured Trebouxia photobiont. Its description in RNAcentral is "bacterial SSU rRNA". It matches the Rfam family "Bacterial small subunit ribosomal RNA", at positions 64 to 508 of the family's 1533-position model. The record is from RNAcentral. Lineage: Eukaryota; Viridiplantae; Chlorophyta; Trebouxiophyceae; Trebouxiales; Trebouxiaceae.